GGGUGAGUAAUGCGUAGGAAUCUACCUAGUAGUACGGAAUAGCCAUUAGAAAUGGUGGGUAAUACUGUAUAAUCCCCGAGGGGGAAAGAUUUAUCGCUAUUAGAUGAGCCUACGUUAGAUUAGCUAGUUGGUGAGGUAAUGGCUUACCAAGGCUAUGAUCUAUAGCUGGUCUGAGAGGACGAUCAGCCACACUGGAACUGAGAUACGGUCCAGACUCCUACGGGAGGCAGCAGUGGGGAAUAUUGGACAAUGGGCGAAAGCCUGAUCCAGCUAUGCCGCGUGAGUGAAGAAGGCCUUCGGGUUGUAAAACUCUUUCAAUAGGGAAGAUAAUGACGGUACCU
RNAcentral lists this ribosomal RNA (341 nucleotides) under Ehrlichia canis. RNAcentral describes it as "bacterial SSU rRNA". It matches the Rfam family "Bacterial small subunit ribosomal RNA", at positions 104 to 480 of the family's 1533-position model. The record is from RNAcentral. Lineage: Bacteria; Pseudomonadati; Pseudomonadota; Alphaproteobacteria; Rickettsiales; Anaplasmataceae.